RNAcentral lists this unclassified non-coding RNA (285 nucleotides) under Aphidius gifuensis. RNAcentral describes it as "nADH dehydrogenase subunit 4L". The record is from RNAcentral. Lineage: Eukaryota; Metazoa; Arthropoda; Insecta; Hymenoptera; Braconidae.
AUUAUAUUAAAUUUAAAAAUUUUUUUUUUUAUUAGAUCAUGUUUUAUAUAUUCUUAUUAUUAUAAACACAUUCUUUUAACUUUAAUUUCCUUAGAAUUUAUAAUAGUAAAUAUAAUUUAUAAUUUAUAUUAUAUAAUAAUAAUUAAUGAAAUUAAUCUAUUUAUAAUUACAAUUUUUUUAGGAAUUUCUGUAUGUGAAAGAGUAUUAGGAUUAUCUUUAUUAAUUAAUUUAGUACGAUUAAGAGGAAAUGAUUAUAACAAUAACAUAAAAUUAUUAAAAUGUUAA